RNAcentral lists this transfer RNA (90 nucleotides) under Rhodococcus sp. 06-156-3C. RNAcentral's name for it is "tRNA-Tyr". It matches the Rfam family "tRNA". From Rfam's summary of the family: Transfer RNA (tRNA) molecules are approximately 80 nucleotides in length. Their secondary structure includes four short double-helical elements and three loops (D, anti-codon, and T loops). The record is from RNAcentral. Lineage: Bacteria; Bacillati; Actinomycetota; Actinomycetes; Mycobacteriales; Nocardiaceae.
GCCAGUGUGGCAACUGUUGGCAAUGUUGCAGCGGCCUGUAAAGCCGUCGUCUUCGGGCACCGGGGGUUCGAUUCCCUCCACUGCGCACCA